This 308-nucleotide long non-coding RNA is filed under the name Anser brachyrhynchus (Pink-footed goose). Its description in RNAcentral is "lncRNA (ENSABRG00000008199.1)". The record is from RNAcentral. Lineage: Eukaryota; Metazoa; Chordata; Aves; Anseriformes; Anatidae.
CCCUGCUCUUCCCUUUCUUCUCCCUUUGCACAGUGACAAGGCAACAUGUAGGCCAUAAGUUUUCAGUACAAGGGAGGUCCCUCAGGGGACUGAAGAGCACUUCUGAAGAGCAUUUCGGAAGAGCAGAUGAUAGCAUAGCAAGGGAGAGCAAACUUCAAUCAAUGUUACACAUGAACUUACCUUCAUAGCAUAUAUUUUUUUCAAGAGCAAACAUGAAAAUGACUCUGUGCCACAGUAAACAUGGUCACAAGUCUGCCUGCUGGUUCAGAGUGCUGGCAGAGCAAGCUCACAUCUGCCUGUAAUCGUUG